Molecule: ribosomal RNA, 468 nt
Filed under: uncultured bacterium
Lineage: Bacteria
Description: partial 16S ribosomal RNA
Rfam family: Bacterial small subunit ribosomal RNA
Source: RNAcentral
GACGAACGCUGGCGGCGUGCUUAACACAUGCAAGUCGAACGGAAAGGCCCUGCUUUUGUGGGGUGCUCGAGUGGCGAACGGGUGAGUAACACGUGAGUAACCUGCCCUUGACUUUGGGAUAACUUCAGGAAACUGGGGCUAAUACCGGAUAGGAGCUCCUGCUGCAUGGUGGGGGUUGGAAAGUUUCGGCGGUUGGGGAUGGACUCGCGGCUUAUCAGCUUGUUGGUGGGGUAGUGGCUUACCAAGGCUUUGACGGGUAGCCGGCCUGAGAGGGUGACCGGCCAAAUUGGGAAUGAGAUACGGGCCAGACUCCUAAGGGAGGCAGCAGUGGGGAAUAUUGGAAAAAGGGCGGAAGCCUGAUGCAGCAACGCCGCGUGCGGGAUGACGGCCUUCGGGUUGUAAACCGCUUUCGCCUGUGACGAAGCGUGAGUGACGGUAAUGGGUAAAGAAGCACCGGCUAACUACGUG